UGAACUCUAUAAUUUGGAUGGAAUACAAGUUUUUACAUUGAAAAAUAAUAUCCCUCAAGUCUGAUCUGUCGAAAAAAAACGUGUUGAGCUUAUCUACAACCACUUUUCACUCGGUUUAAGAGAAAACUUAUUGUAAAAAUAUACGUUCCGUUUGGAUAGUCUCAUUUUUGUAAUCACAUCACAAAGUUAUUAUUAAUGAUUAAAAUAGUUCGUAGAAUGGGUCUAUAUAUCUAUAUCUAUUUAGAAUUUUGUUAACUUGUACUCAUUUUUUUAGAAUGAAUACUUUAACAACUUACAACCAAAUGUAUUUUAAUAACAAUCAUAGUUAUAAAAUAAAGUAAUCCGGCAACGACGCAUCCGACGGCGAAGACGGCGGAUCCGGCAGCCGGGAAGAACAUAAUCACGCCGAGAAACAGCAGCAGACGGAGCAAGAGCCAGAACACGAUGUUCCUCGGAGCACCGAAUCAUCCGAGAAUAUUGCCACGAUCAAUGAAGAAUAAUCGAGGCAGGUCCCGUUUCGAAAUUAAGGGUUUUGUUUUUAGGUCUUUCUGAUUGUUGCAGUAUUUUUUUUGGCAGUUACGUUUUUUUUUUUACGUUAUGUAAUCAAUUUAAUUGGAAUGUCAUUAAAGAUUUUUUUGCCAUGAAUAAUUACUUCAAAAGUAAUUUGUAGACUAGUUUCUAGUUAGUUGCUGAAAUUUAUUGAGAAACCAGAAUCACAAAAUUGUGUAGGAAUGAUUUUCAAUAAAUUUUAAUCAUUAGUAGAGACUGUGGUGUGAGUUGUUAGAGAAUGUUAACUAGCACUUGGGGGAUUCCCUGCAAAUGGAAAAUUUCUGCAUUCAUGCAUUCAGCUUAUGGCAACAGUUAAAUAUAAAUCAGACCACUCAUAAUUUAUCUUGAUAAAUUUAAUUCAAAGGUUCAAAUUCACGAAUGCGUGAAUUAAAGAAUCCAUUUCCCAUUCGGCACUCCUCUUGUACUAUACUUGGCUCAUGUGGUCAAUUGUCUGACUAAUUGCCUAUUAUGGAUAAAAUAUUGGAGCAUCAUGGUUAUGUGCGGAGAGAAAUCUUGUGUUUUGAGACUCGAGACACUGGAAUUCGCCAAACUAUGAAAUUUGUGUGUACUAAUCACCUUGUGCAUGAAAAGAGAGUAUUGAGUGAAUGCUAUUGGUUUAUGUGACAGAAAGCAUUGGAUCAAGCAAAUGAUGCAAAGGUAAAAGGGAACAAGCUUUUUGGAGAUGGGAAGUAUGAAGAGGUGUUAUCGCAAUAUGAACUUGCUUUACAAGUAGCACCAGACAUGCCUUCAUCUGUCGAAAUACGUUCAAUAUGCCAUUCAAACAGUGGUGGGUGCUUUCUUAAACUGAGAAAGGAGAGGGAAAGUACAACUCGGGGGAGGGUAAGACAUCCUAAAAACCAUAAAAGUUGAGGUGUAACAAAGACCAUGAAAAAGUAAAGCAUGCUGCAAAGCUACCUGCAUACCAGAAAUUGAUAGUCCCAAGAAACAGCCAUGAGCAGCAGCAGAAGCUUAAACUUAAUACUCAUGAUAAGUUUAAGGGAAAUGAGACACCCUUAGAAAUGGAAAAUAUGAUAACACAAUUAAAGAAUGCACAGAAGCAUUAGAACUGAAUCCUGUUUGCGUUAAAGCUUUGGUAAGAAGAGGAGAAGCUCAUGAAAAGCUUGAGCAUUUUGAAGAGGCCAUUGCUGACUUCCAUCUUCAUUCAUUCGUAAGCCAUUCAGCGACUAGAGCCCCUUGCUGCAGAAAAACGAGAAAAGAUGAAGGAGGAAAUGAUUGCAAAACUGAAAGAAAUGGGCAAUUCUGUCCUGGGCCGCUUUGGGAUGAGUGUAGACAACUUUAAAUCAGUCAAAGAUCCAAACACUGGUUCCUUUUCUGUCUCAUUCCAAUGCUAAUUUAUGUAGAGCAAAGUCAUAGCAGCAGUAAGCAAGAAAGAGGCGGUCUAAAGUGAUACAGGAGGUUUGAGACUUCAUUGUGCAUGCAAGUUAUUAGAAAAAUUUGAAUGUUAGUUAUGUAUGAGAACUAGGGCAUGUAAUUUUUUAUUUCCUUCAAAAGGACAUUUGUUAAUUGAUUCAUCAUGUGAAGGGGAUUGAUAAUGAGUUGGUCAUUAUAACAAUCUCUUUUUAACACUAUUGUUAAAUGAAAUUCUAGCUAGGCUCAGUAAUAAAGAGUGGGUCCAGGUUAUCUAGUGACACCAGUGUGAGAUUUAACUUGAUAA
RNA transcript from Glycine soja, 2224 nucleotides. It is a transcript of the gene named mitochondrial import receptor subunit TOM34-like, with no coding region annotated. The transcript has 5 exons. Lineage: Eukaryota; Viridiplantae; Streptophyta; Magnoliopsida; Fabales; Fabaceae. The record is from RefSeq and is a predicted model, not a curated record.